GUCCUAGCCGUAAACGUUGGACACUAGGUGUGGGCGGACAUCAACCCCGUCUGUGCCGUAGCUAACGCAUUAAGUGUCCCGCCUGGGGAGUACGGCCGCAAGGCUAAAACUCAAGGAAUUGACGGGGGCCCGCACAAGCGGCGGAGCGUGUGGCUUAAUUCGAAGCAACGCGAAGAACCUUACCUGGACUUGACAUGCGGGGUGAAACCGUGGAAACACGGUGCUCUUAGGAGCCCGCACAGGUGGUGCAUGGCUGUCGU
RNAcentral lists this ribosomal RNA (260 nucleotides) under uncultured bacterium. Its description in RNAcentral is "partial 16S ribosomal RNA". It matches the Rfam family "Bacterial small subunit ribosomal RNA", at positions 793 to 1055 of the family's 1533-position model. The record is from RNAcentral.